This is a long non-coding RNA of Megalobrama amblycephala (Wuchang bream), 631 nucleotides long. RefSeq lists it as uncharacterized. NCBI's taxonomy places the organism in Eukaryota, Metazoa, Chordata, Actinopteri, Cypriniformes, Xenocyprididae. The transcript has 6 exons. The record is from RefSeq and is a predicted model, not a curated record.
GGGCUGCUGGAGUGCCCUCCACCUGAAAGCCUGGAAAGAGAAGCACACUGGAUCUCCCUUGUGUAAAAUGAAAGGGAGAACCCCAAAGGAGGGUGCUGAGUGAACAAACACACUGAACUUCUGUAACAGAUGGCUGGCCUGAGGUGUGGAUUUUUGCGAAGCCUGUCUCGCUUACCCUCACUCAACAGGAUUGUAAUAUCUUCAAAGCAAAAACCUCCCCAAAAACAGUUGGAUGGACACUUAAAACUGAAAAACAACUAGCGUUUGGCAUCAACAUGUGGUCUGUUACAGGAAGAGUCUUGGUGGAGGCCAGAGCGGAGAUCCAGGUGAUGACAGGCGUGAUAUCAGCUCAGAGGAAGUGCUGACGGAUCCUGAGCUGGACAGUCAUGAGGGCUUUCAGGGUGAGGGUGAAGGCAAGUGAGAUAGACCACCUGUUCAGGACAACUAUCACGACACUGCCAGAUUCACUACAAAAUACAAGUUUAGAGCAACAUGAGGGAAGCCUCUCCACCAUGUUUGUUUGGGUUACUGUAGAACCAUGCAGCCACAUGACCUGAGGUCAGAUUCAAUCUCCAACUCUGAUCCACCCAAGUCUUGCCCAGAAUACAGUCUAAUAGUAUUUGCAUUCUGC